UGGACUCCGUACUCAAGGAACGCGCCGUAAAGUGGCUGUUUGUUACCGGCUGUACGACAAGUGUCUGUGUGGAAUCGACGCUUCGAGACGCGAUGUUCAGGGACUAUUCUUGUGUUCUCCUGGCCGACUGUACAGCUGAGCCCAUCGGUCAGGGUUUUGCGCGAACUAACCAUGAAGCCUCGCUCCUGGUCAUGCAAACUCUAUUCGGUUGGGU
Molecule: unclassified non-coding RNA, 214 nt
Filed under: plant metagenome
Description: partial contains 5.8S ribosomal RNA, internal transcribed spacer 2, and large subunit ribosomal RNA
Source: RNAcentral